This 105-nucleotide ribosomal RNA is filed under the name uncultured bacterium. Its description in RNAcentral is "partial 16S ribosomal RNA". It matches the Rfam family "Bacterial small subunit ribosomal RNA", at positions 386 to 508 of the family's 1533-position model. The record is from RNAcentral.
ACCGAGCAACGCCGCGUGCAGGAAGACGGUUUUCGGAUCGUAAACUGCUUUUCUGGGGAAGAGAAGGGACGGUACCCCAGGAAGAAGCCCCGGCUAACUACGUGC